UACGAAGGGGGCUAGCGUUGCUCGGAAUCACUGGGCGUAAAGCGCACGUAGGCGGACUCUUAAGUCAGGGGUGAAAUCCUGGAGCUCAACUCCAGAACUGCCUUUGAUACUGAGAGCCUUGAGUCCGGAAGAGGUAAGUGGAACUGCGAGUGUAGAGGUGAAAUUCGUAGAUAUUCGCAAGAACACCAGUGGCGAAGGCGGCUCACUGGUCCGAUACUGACGCUGAGGCACGAAAGCGUGGGGAGCAAACAGG
This 253-nucleotide ribosomal RNA is filed under the name uncultured bacterium. RNAcentral describes it as "partial 16S ribosomal RNA". It matches the Rfam family "Bacterial small subunit ribosomal RNA", at positions 524 to 776 of the family's 1533-position model. The record is from RNAcentral.